UUUGUCCUUCUGAACUUCUGAAUCAACAGGAAGGUGACCUACAGCGAGAGUGGAAGGGGAGAGAGGAUGUGCCCAGAGUGGUGCAUGUUUAAUCAUCAUUUUCUAAUGGCAAUUGGAGAUUUCCUAUUUAAUCAGUAAUGCAAGUGCCUAGCAAUUAAUUCUGCGGGACUCUCCAUCCCCUGACCACUGCAGUGCUGCUUCUGAGCAUGACUUUCCUACUCUUGGUGCAGUUUUGAGGGGUAAUAAGGUUGCUGUAAUGAAUUACAAAAGGUAUUAUUUCGUUCCUAGCUCCCAAUGACAAGUAUUAGUCCUUACUUUUAAAUGAGGAUACGAACGUUUCAUUCCUUAAUAGGCAAGCUGUCCUGGACCAGGCUUCGUAAAGGAAGCAGGGGGAAGAGAGAGGGAGUGUCUUGCACCAACCGAAGCUGAUGUGAGUGUCUUUCAUCCGAUGCACGUCGCGCGAUGACGCUCACACGUCCCCGAGGCACCUCGCAUGCAAAUCUCUACAGCUUGCUGUCAUGCCCGAGAGGAAAGCAAAGAGCUUGUCCUGUCCUUACCCAGAGUUUCCUUUCCUGUUCGCUUUGACCCAGGGGCUUGCAGGACCUCCUGUGCUGCAGGACACCCUCGACCGUCGCGUUUAACAGCCGCCGAUGACAGAUAGACCGACAGCUGGAUUUCCGGCUCUUGGGUAACACUUUAUCAAGCCUGAGCACAGUGAUCUUCGCUUGCAGCCAUGAGCCAAGGCAUUUUAUCUGCAACUAACUUACUCCUCUCAGCCUCUUAAUCUUCCAAAAUACUUGUUCUGGAUGAAAUGGAUUAACUGACCAUAGUUUUCAUUUCAGAUGAACAGGUGAUAAAUUGUUACACUGAGGAAUGAGAUUUGCUGUUGUAUACAGCUGGUAAUACAAUUUAUCCUUCCUGUGGACUAUUUCCUCCACUGGGCAUUAUCUGCCUUACAAAGAACAGAUUUCAUUUUUCUUACGGCUUAAAAAUCUGAUUUGUUUGCUUUGUGCUUCUUCCAUUAAACCUGG
RNAcentral lists this long non-coding RNA (1031 nucleotides) under Struthio camelus australis. Its description in RNAcentral is "lncRNA (ENSSCUG00000006799.1)". Lineage: Eukaryota; Metazoa; Chordata; Aves; Struthioniformes; Struthionidae. The record is from RNAcentral.